GACCGGGGCGCGCGCUGCCCGGCGCCGCCUCACAUCGCGGGCUCCGGCGCCGCGCUCCUCGGCCGCCCCGGGUGCGGCUGUGGCGGGGCCCGGGUGCGGCGCGGGCCGCGGUGGCCGUCCCUCCGCAGGGCGCAGGCAGCAAACUUUGGCGGCGUCCGCGCGGCGCCGUCUCCGCCGGCGCGCCGGGCUCGCCCCUUUAUAGAGUGUCUGCGCCGCCGCCCGCGCCCCCCCCGCCGCCGCCGCCGGGCGGCCCCUCCCGGAGCGAGCGGCCGCGGGCAGGGCUCCGACCCGGCGCCUUUGUCUCGCCCGGGCCGCUCGGGCGCCGCGCCUCCUGUUCCGGGCGCGCGGGGUCGGCCGGCCGCCUUCGCUGCUCCGCCGCGGCUCUCAGCGCCGCUCAGCGCGGCGGGCCCGCCCGGGCUCAGGUGCCCCCCGCUCUCCGGACCUUCUCGCCCGGCCCCGCGUCCCCUCCGCGGGCUUCCCCCGGCGGCCGGCCGGGCUCGGAGGCUCGCGGCCGGAGCGGAGCGGAGUGCGCACGCCGGGGUGGCAGGACUUCGGCAAGACCAACUUUCCGUGGUCCUGUCUGGUGUGAACCGUCAGCACAGAUGGCCUCCUGGAGCUUCCCCGAGUCGUUCGCUGGGGGAAGCGGGCGGUGAGCGGCCAGCCCGGGCGCUCCGCAGGCCGCGAGCUCCCGGCAGGGCUGGUGGCGGGGGUCCGCCUGGGGGAGGAAUCCCCGCCUGCUCCAUCGGACCCGGCCUGGCGCGGCUCGCGGCGCUCGGCGGGCUCCCUUCCAUUCUAGAAUCUUCCCGCUUGCUUCCCAGCCCGCGUUCUUCCGCCUGCCUUUAAUUGUAAGCAGACACAGGUUCCCACGGCGUCUGACGCCUGCGGAGCAAGUCCAGAGCCAGCUGGACUCGCAGCCUCUGGCCCGGCGGCACCAACUCCUCACUGGGUCAUUUUGAGCGCGCUGUGCCCACCUUUUCUGUUGCGUGUGGACGUGGGGAGGAUCUUCUAAGUCCCUCCAACGAAGGCAAGUGUGAGACUCUGGCCCUUUAUUUGUAAGAAGCAAGCCUUCAGAUUGCAGAAGUGUCGCGCGGGUCGCCGUGCGUUGCGCGAGUGGGAAGAUGGAGGAGGCCGGCACGCUGCUUUCGUGGACGCAAGUGAACCGGGCGUGAAGGCAGGGUGCGAGCUCUGCCCUUGGCCCAGCCCUGCGUGGGCGCCGUCCCAGAUUCCGGGCGGUGCGGGGUGCAGAGAUCUGGAGAGACUUGCGGGCUCCCCAGCGCAGGCUGCUCUGGGAUUUCGUUGGAAGAUCCGGCAGAGCCUUGGAGGAGAGGGCCCGGGAGGCUGUGUGUGCAGCGGAAACUUGUACGAAUGCCCCCACAGCGGAAAUGGUGCGCACGAGUAAUUUCUGCGGUGCACCCUUUUAAAAAUUGACAAGUGAACAAG
RNAcentral lists this long non-coding RNA (1440 nucleotides) under Homo sapiens (human). RNAcentral's name for it is "long non-coding RNA NONHSAT178719.1". The record is from RNAcentral. Lineage: Eukaryota; Metazoa; Chordata; Mammalia; Primates; Hominidae.